RNAcentral lists this ribosomal RNA (259 nucleotides) under uncultured Leptotrichia sp. Its description in RNAcentral is "partial 16S ribosomal RNA". It matches the Rfam family "Bacterial small subunit ribosomal RNA", at positions 96 to 355 of the family's 1533-position model. Lineage: Bacteria; Fusobacteriati; Fusobacteriota; Fusobacteriia; Fusobacteriales; Leptotrichiaceae. The record is from RNAcentral.
UGGCGGACGGGUGAGUAACGCGUAAAGAACUUGCCCUUUAGACUGGGAUAACAGAGGGAAACUUCUGAUAAUACUGGAUAAGUUAGUAUAUCGCAUGAUAUGCAAAUGAAAGCUACGGCACUAAAGGAGAGCUUUGCGUCCUAUUAGCUAGUUGGUAAGGUAAGAGCUUACCAAGGCGAUGAUAGGUAGCCGGCCUGAGAGGGUGGACGGCCACAAGGGGACUGAGAUACGGCCCAAACUCCUACGGGAGGCAGCAGCA